GAUUGAACGCUGGCGGAAUGCUUUACACAUGCAAGUCGAACGGCAGCACGGGGGCAACCCUGGUGGCGAGUGGCGAACGGGUGAGUAAUACAUCGGAACGUGCCCGGUCGUGGGGGAUAACGUAGCGAAAGUUACGCUAAUACCGCAUACGAUCUGAGGAUGAAAGCGGGGGACCUUCGGGCCUCGCGCGAUCGGAGCGGCCGAUGUCAGAUUAGGUAGUUGGUGGGGUAAAGGCCUACCAAGCCGACGAUCUGUAGCUGGUCUGAGAGGACGACCAGCCACACUGGGACUGAGACACGGCCCAGACUCCUACGGGAGGCAGCAGUGGGGAAUUUUGGACAAUGGGCGCAAGCCUGAUCCAGCCAUUCCGCGUGCAGGACGAAGGCCUUCGGGUUGUAAACUGCUUUUGUAUGGAACGAAAAGGCUCUGGCUAAUACCUGGGGCUCAUGACGGUACCGUAAGAAUAAGCACCGGCUAACUACGUG
This 485-nucleotide ribosomal RNA is filed under the name uncultured bacterium. Its description in RNAcentral is "partial 16S ribosomal RNA". It matches the Rfam family "Bacterial small subunit ribosomal RNA", at positions 27 to 507 of the family's 1533-position model. The record is from RNAcentral.